RNAcentral lists this transfer RNA (68 nucleotides) under Marmota monax (woodchuck). RNAcentral's name for it is "tRNA.Ala". The stretch from base 5 to 65 matches the Rfam family "tRNA", at positions 6 to 65 of the family's 71-position model. Rfam says of the family: Transfer RNA (tRNA) molecules are approximately 80 nucleotides in length. Their secondary structure includes four short double-helical elements and three loops (D, anti-codon, and T loops). Lineage: Eukaryota; Metazoa; Chordata; Mammalia; Rodentia; Sciuridae. The record is from RNAcentral.
GGAUUGUAGCUCAGUGGUAGAGUACUUGCCUAGCACGUGUGAGGUACUGGGUUCGAAUCUCAGCACCA